Long non-coding RNA from Bradysia coprophila, 273 nucleotides. NCBI's taxonomy places the organism in Eukaryota, Metazoa, Arthropoda, Insecta, Diptera, Sciaridae. The record is from RefSeq and is a predicted model, not a curated record.
UUUGAAAAACAGCCUGCCGAAAUCGGACGUAUUUUCUAGUGAAUUUUUUGAUAUGUGUCUAGAUAGGUAUUGGUCCCUAGAAGCCAAAGCCACUUUCAAAAAAAUUCGUCGCUUGUAUGGCUCGUGAGGGGUGACCAAAAACCGAAUACAUUCACUUUUCUUAUGGAAAUUUCUCGUAGGCCACGAAACGUACAAGGUCGUGUGGGAGGUCAUUAGAAAGGUAAUUGCAUGUACGUUCGGGGCAGAUUGGGUCUUGUUGGGUUUAAAGUUCAU